Molecule: transfer RNA, 68 nt
Filed under: Marmota monax (woodchuck)
Lineage: Eukaryota; Metazoa; Chordata; Mammalia; Rodentia; Sciuridae
Description: tRNA.Ala
Source: RNAcentral
GUGGUGGCUCAGUGGUAGCGUGCUUGCCUAGCAUGUGUGAGGUACUGGGUUCGAUUCUCAGCACCACA